UUAAAUUGAAGAGUUUGAUCAUGGCUCAGAUUGAACGCUGGCGGCAGGCCUAACACAUGCAAGUCGAGCGGAAACGAGUUAUC
Molecule: ribosomal RNA, 83 nt
Filed under: Vibrio alginolyticus
Lineage: Bacteria; Pseudomonadati; Pseudomonadota; Gammaproteobacteria; Vibrionales; Vibrionaceae
Also listed under: 1 other name
Description: partial 16S ribosomal RNA
Rfam family: Bacterial small subunit ribosomal RNA
Source: RNAcentral